CCCUUAGAUGUUCUGGGCUGCACGCGCGCUACACUGAAGCUAUCAACACGUUUUCCCUCCCUGAGAAGGGCGGGUAACCUUUUGAAUCAGCUUCGUGGUAGGGAUCGGGGCUUGCAAUUGUUCUCCGUGAACCAGGAAUUCCUAGUAGACGCGAGUCAUAAGCUCGCAUCGAUUAAGUCCCUGCCCUUUGUACACACCGCCCGUCGCUACUACCGAUUGAACGUUUUAGUGAGGCAUUUGGACCGACGCAUCUCAGUUUAACCGCUGGUUUGUGUUGGAAAGACUUCCAAACUUGAGCGUUUAGAGGAAGUAAAAGUCGUAACA
Molecule: ribosomal RNA, 324 nt
Filed under: uncultured eukaryote
Lineage: Eukaryota
Description: partial 18S ribosomal RNA
Rfam family: Eukaryotic small subunit ribosomal RNA
Source: RNAcentral